RNAcentral lists this non-coding RNA (46 nucleotides) under Schistosoma mattheei. The record is from RNAcentral. Lineage: Eukaryota; Metazoa; Platyhelminthes; Trematoda; Strigeidida; Schistosomatidae.
GCAUUGCUGAGGAGUCCCACAAUAGGACGAAACGGUCGUUCAGUCC